This 389-nucleotide long non-coding RNA is filed under the name Androctonus crassicauda. Lineage: Eukaryota; Metazoa; Arthropoda; Arachnida; Scorpiones; Buthidae. The record is from RNAcentral.
GAAGCGUUAAACCAUCAAUGCCCCACUCCGGUGAGCUGGCAUAUGCAGGCUGGUCUAUAAUAGGGAUUUGGAUGGACAGGAGAUGUAUGUUGGAAGUAUGGUAAGAUCCCUAGACACCGACUGUGGGAGCACAAAAGCGGUGCAGAAGGGAUGGCCUUUAAUACAGGGCUUGUUGGGCAUUUCUGUCAGUGUGGGGUCAGCAUUGAGUGGAGUCAGGCACGAGUCAUCAGAACGGUGGGUAGAGCGGAGGAUAUUAGAAUGGCCGAGGCUAUUAUUAUUGAAUCGUUAUAAAUGAAAAUCCUCCUGUUGACAUGCCAUCACAAUGGCUUGCAUGGUCUUUGUGCAUAAUAGACCCACAAUUACCACCAAUUUUGUUUGUUGCAGUCGAC